RNAcentral lists this ribosomal RNA (497 nucleotides) under uncultured bacterium. RNAcentral's name for it is "partial 16S ribosomal RNA". It matches the Rfam family "Bacterial small subunit ribosomal RNA", at positions 28 to 507 of the family's 1533-position model. The record is from RNAcentral.
GAUGAACGCUGGCGGCGUGCCUAAUACAUGCAAGUCGAGCGAACAGAUGAGGAGCUUGCUCCUCUGACGUUAGCGGCGGACGGGUGAGUAACACGUGGAUAACCUACCUAUAAGACUGGGAUAACUUCGGGAAACCGGAGCUAAUACCGGAUAAUAUAUUGAACCGCAUGGUUCAAUAGUGAAAGACGGUUUUGCUGUCACUUAUAGAUGGAUCCGCGCCGCAUUAGAUGGUUGGUAAGGUAACGGCUUACCAAGGCAACGAUGCGUAGCCGACGUAAGAGGGUGAUCGGCCACAUUGGAACUGGGACACGGUCCAGACUCCUACGGGAGGCAGCAGUAGGGAAUCUUCCGCAAUGGGGGAAAGCCUGGCGGAGCAACGCCGCGUGAGUGAUGACGGUCUUCGGAUCGGAAAACUCUGUUAUUAGGGAAGAACAAAUGUGUAAGUAACUGUGCACGUCUUGACGGUACCUAAUCAGAAAGCCACGGCUAACUACGUG